Long non-coding RNA from Papaver somniferum (opium poppy), 1923 nucleotides. RefSeq lists it as uncharacterized. Lineage: Eukaryota; Viridiplantae; Streptophyta; Magnoliopsida; Ranunculales; Papaveraceae. The record is from RefSeq and is a predicted model, not a curated record. The transcript has 2 exons.
UUAGGUUUCCUCUUGAAACCAAAUCGAGAAUCCAAUUCACUAGCAGAGACAUGAGAUGAGAGUGAAAACCAAAUGCCGGAGUUCCCUGUUGCUCCAAGACUCACUCGCCGUCACUGGCCAAGGUUCGAUGUUAGUCUGCCAAGGGUUGGAAGAAGUAUUCUAAGACGAGAAGAACACAGAAACAAGAUGGGUUUUGUCUGAGAAGAUUUGUCGAGAAGAAGAAGGGAAGAAAGGCUGCUACUGUUGUGAUUCGAAUCGCAAAGUUAUGGUGGAGUUUUGAACAGAUUUCAUAUGCCAAGAAACCAGUGGAAAUGAGUUGUUGCUGAACUGUUUUUUUUUUUUUUUGUGGCUGUUAACAAGGGUUGAGAGUUCCAUUUGAGACCGAACAUACAAGGCAGAAGAACUGAUGCUGUUGUUGUUGGAAAUGGAGAACUAGACAGGGGAAUUCUUAAUUACAGCAGCACCAUCAAUUCUGCUCAUAUGAUGUUCGCUGAAUUGUCUUAACUAAGAAGAUGCAGAAUUUAUAUGGUGUUUAAGUCAGAUACUGGCUGUACAUGCAGCGAGAAGAGGAGGAUGGAACUGAAGCUAAGACUUAGUUGCUGAAUAACUUGUUGCUGCUGCCAUGAAUGUAUGUGAGCUGUGGUUGUUAUCUCAGCUGGAGAAACCCAAAGAAGUAUUGCUGCUGCUGGGAUAUGGAGGAGAUUCAAAUGGGUUUUCGAACCUGAAAUCUGUAGCCUGGAUUUGAGCUGGAGAAAGAGGAAGAAUGUGUUGUUACCAAUGGAUCCAGUUUGGAGAUCGAUUUUGGUGGUACUUUGAGCUGAACUGCAUUCGAGCUGAAGUGUUGCUGCUGUCCAUUGUGCUGACAUUGUAAUGGAGUUUGUGCUCGAGGUUAAGAAUUUCAGGAGAUGGAAGUGAUGUUAUCUUCAAAAGAAGGAGAUGAGUUUGGUGAAUUGUUGGCCUGAAAUCUAGCUGAGGAGAUGUUGUUGCUGUGAGUUAAAUGGGUUGCAGUUGACAGGGUCUUGUGUGAGUGUUGCAGAACAUAGUGAUGCUGCUGCCAUGGCCAUGUGGAUUGUGUGGAUGAACUAGUUGGGGUCGAUUGUGAGCAGAAAUGGGUUUUUGAAUCUGGAGAGAGUGGAUUGAUUAUUGGUGCUGAUGCUAUUAAGACGAGCAUAAACAAUGAGUUAGUUUGCCAGAAUUUCUCGUCAUUAUACAAGGCUACAAUUGGGUUGUUUGGAUUGUAUCUUGAGCUGAAAUGCAGCUGCAACAGGUGUACUGUGACUGAGCUUACAAGGUUUCGAAUUCAAUGGCUAGCCUUGGCUCGAUGGCUAUGUAUGAGGGUCACUUGGCAGAGGCUAGGAAGUAGUUUGUUGGUUGUCUGCAACGGUUAGUUGCCAUGAGUCCGGUGAAUGUUUGGCAGCAGAUAAGGCUAGACCAAGAAGCCUACAGGAUAUGGAGAUAUGGUACCACAUUAUUUCAGGUAUGGAAAGAGUUUCUUGCCGAGAAAACAAGCCACAAGUACUGUCUGUGCGACUGAUUAUUGAGAUGAAUGGCUGUGAUUAUUGGUUGUUUUAGAGUUUAUAGUAAAUAAGGAAAGUGGAUAUGCGUCUAGGUCACGACAUUACAGCGCAGAAGAGCUAUAUAAGGAGGCGCAGAAACAAAUAGAAGACCUACCUCUUUAUCACCAGUUUGUGCUUGCAGAUUGUUGCAGAAAUUCCUGCGAGAAGAAACUACACGGAACCGGCACCUGAACCUGUUUUCGCAAUUGCUGCAGAGUUUGCUUUAGCCCUGAACCUUAUUUACUUUGAAUAUACCUUUGUGCUUAAACCAAAACUAUGAGCAGCUAAUAACUUUAUUGAUUGGGGAGGAUUUCAAAACUCCAAGCAUGUUUUAUUAAUCAAUUCAAGCAAGUUAUUCUUUCAUAAA